Molecule: ribosomal RNA, 500 nt
Filed under: uncultured bacterium
Lineage: Bacteria
Description: partial 16S ribosomal RNA
Rfam family: Bacterial small subunit ribosomal RNA
Source: RNAcentral
AUUGAACGCUGGCGGCAGGCCUAACACAUGCAAGUCGAGCGACAGCGGGACCUUCGGGUUGCCGGCGAGCGGCGGACGGGUGAGUAAUGCCUAGGAAUCUGCCUGUUAGUGGGGGAUAACGCGGGGAAACUCGCGCUAAUACCGCAUACGUCCUACGGGAGAAGGCGGGGGCUCUUCGGACCUCGCGCUAACAGAUGAGCCUAGGUCGGAUUAGCUAGUUGGUGGGGUAAUGGCCCACCACGGCGACGAUCCGUAACUGGUCUGAGAGGAUGAUCAGUCACACUGGAAAUGAGACACGGUCCAGACUCCUACGGGAGGCAGCAGUGGGGAAUAUUGGACAAUGGGCGAAAGCCUGAUCCAGCCAUGCCGCGUGUGUGAAGAAGGUCUUCGGAUUGUAAAGCACUUUAAGUCGGGAGGAAGGGAUGUAGGCUAAUACCUUGCAGUUUUGACGUUACCGACAGAAUAAGCACCGGCUAACUUCGUGCCAGCAGCCGCAGUAA